This 127-nucleotide small RNA is filed under the name Marmota monax (woodchuck). Lineage: Eukaryota; Metazoa; Chordata; Mammalia; Rodentia; Sciuridae. The record is from RNAcentral.
GCUGGGUGUAGUGGUGCACGCCUGUCAUCCCAAUGGCUAGGGAGGCUGAGGCAGGAGGAUGGUGAGUUCAAAGCCAGCCUCAGCAACUUAGUGAGGCCCUAAGCAACUCAGGGAGACCCUGUCUCUA